RNAcentral lists this ribosomal RNA (274 nucleotides) under uncultured bacterium. RNAcentral's name for it is "partial 16S ribosomal RNA". It matches the Rfam family "Bacterial small subunit ribosomal RNA", at positions 524 to 799 of the family's 1533-position model. The record is from RNAcentral.
UACAGAGGGUGCGAGCGUUAAUCGGAAUUACUGGGCGUAAAGCGAGUGUAGGUGGCUCAUUAAGUCACAUGUGAAAUCCCCGGGCUUAACCUGGGAACUGCAUGUGAUACUGGUGGUGCUAGAAUAUGUGAGAGGGAAGUAGAAUUCCAGGUGUAGCGGUGAAAUGCGUAGAGAUCUGGAGGAAUACCGAUGGCGAAGGCAGCUUCCUGGCAUAAUAUUGACACUGAGAUUCGAAAGCGUGGGUAGCAAACAGGAUUAGAAACCCGUGGUCUCG